Molecule: unclassified non-coding RNA, 738 nt
Filed under: Hevea brasiliensis (rubber tree)
Lineage: Eukaryota; Viridiplantae; Streptophyta; Magnoliopsida; Malpighiales; Euphorbiaceae
Source: RNAcentral
UGGUAUUGAAUCAAAUCAAUAAAUUUAUCCCAUUAUCCUAAGACAUGUAGUCAUCAUUCCAUCUCCCACACACUCUGAUUCUCCUCUCAGCCGAUGGAGAAAAGAAAAUUCUCCUUCUAGCUUUCGGUUUGAUUUGUCUUUUUAAAAUUUUGAACCUCAAGCAACAAUGUAAGAGCAGCAGUUUUUUCAUAAAGGAAGUAAGUAUUUCCUUAGUCCCCCAUCCCCAAUCCAAAUUGCUCAGCAUAAAAUUUGUUUUGGCUAAUGGACAACAAGGAACAGGUAACUGAUGUUAAAUCAGUAGCAUCUAGCAUUGUGAAUACGCCAUAAAUAAAUACUUAAUAAGAUGGCUAACUGCAACUUAUUGAAGUUCCAGUUUUAGUUUAAAGCAACAUCAUUUUUGCAUUUAUAAAUUCCAAAUUGUGGCUUCAGCUUAACCAUUGAUUGAGCAUUCCCAAGAGAGAGAAAAGUUUACACUAGGUCUCUACAUUAUGUGAAUAAAUUGGCAUGUUCUUUUAAUAACAGGUCUAUUCUAAGACUAUUCCAUUAGUUAUAGAAUCAUCUCUCCCUCCAUAUUCUUUCCUGUAAUACCCGAAAGUGUUUUCUCACACUGACGAAAUUCAGUCCACAACUCACUGCCGGUGAUGCAUACUCAAAUUGCUAUAGCAUAAGAAGCUGAUUAAGAAUAUACAAUGCUGAUUCUGAAAAUUGGAAAAAAAAAGCAUCAAAAGAUAGAGAAAG